CCCUUAGAUGUUCUGGGCUGCACGCGUGCUACACUGAUAUUGCCAAUAUGUCAUUCUUAUCCGAAAUGGAUUGGGUAAUCAAGUAAUGAAAUUUCAUGCUUGGAAUCGGUAAUUGCAAUUUUAUCGUGAACGAGGAAUUCCUAGUAAGCACUAGUCAUCAGCUAAUGUUGAUUAUGUCCCUGCCCUUUGUACACACCGCCCGUCGCUACUACUGAUUGGGUGUUCAAGUGAGAUGCUUAGACCCUUGUUGCAUGUUUCAUUAUUGUGCUCCGAAAGGAAAAAGUUUCAAGCUUGAGUGUCUAGAGGAAGUAAAAGUCGUAACA
RNAcentral lists this ribosomal RNA (323 nucleotides) under uncultured eukaryote. Its description in RNAcentral is "partial 18S ribosomal RNA". It matches the Rfam family "Eukaryotic small subunit ribosomal RNA", at positions 1470 to 1796 of the family's 1831-position model. The record is from RNAcentral.